Molecule: ribosomal RNA, 255 nt
Filed under: uncultured bacterium
Lineage: Bacteria
Description: partial 16S ribosomal RNA
Rfam family: Bacterial small subunit ribosomal RNA
Source: RNAcentral
UACAGAGGGUGCGAGCGUUGUUCGGAAUUACUGGGCGUAAAGCGCGCGCAGGCGGCUUCUUAAGUCCAUCGGUGAAAUGCCGGGGCUCAACCCCGUUGCAGGCCGAGGAUACUGGGAGGCUGGAGACGAGUAGAGGCAAGCGGAAUUCCGGGUGUAGCGGUGGAAUGCGUAGAGAUCCGGAAGAACACCGGAGGCGAAGGCGGCUUGCUGGGCUUGGUCUGACGCUGAGGCGCGAAAGCGUGGGGAGCGAACAGG